RNAcentral lists this ribosomal RNA (292 nucleotides) under uncultured bacterium. RNAcentral describes it as "partial 16S ribosomal RNA". It matches the Rfam family "Bacterial small subunit ribosomal RNA", at positions 505 to 796 of the family's 1533-position model. The record is from RNAcentral.
GUGCCAGCAGCCGCGGUAAUACGGAGGGUGCGAGCGUUGUCCGGAAUCACUGGGCGUAAAGGGCGCGUAGGCGGCGCGGGUAGUCAACGGUGAAAGUUCAGGGCUCAACCCUGAAUCGGCCGUCGAUACUCCCGUGCUCGAGCACUGUAGAGGCAGGUGGAAUUCCGGGUGUAGCGGUGGAAUGCGUAGAGAUCCGGAAGAACACCGGUGGCGAAGGCGGCCUGCUGGGCAGUAGCUGACGCUGAUGCGCGAAAGCGUGGGGAGCAAACAGGAUUAGAUACCCGCGUAGUCC